GACGAACGCUGGCGGCGUGCUUAACACAUGCAAGUCGAACGGAAAGGCCCAGCUUGCUGGGUACUCGAGUGGCGAACGGGUGAGUAACACGUGGGUGAUCUGCCCUGGACUCUGGGAUAAGCCUGGGAAACUGGGUCUAAUACCGGAUAUGACCUUACAUCGCAUGGUGUUUGGUGGAAAGCUUUUGCGGUUCAGGAUGGGCCCGCGGCCUAUCAGCUUGUUGGUGGGGUAAUGGCCUACCAAGGCGACGACGGGUAGCCGACCUGAGAGGGUGAACGGCCACACUGGGACUGAGACACGGCCCAGACUCCUACGGGAGGCAGCAGUGGGGAAUAUUGCACAAUGGGCGCAAGCCUGAUGCAGCGACGCCGCGUGAGGGAUGACGGCCUUCGGGUUGUAAACCUCUUUCACCAGGGACGAAGCGUGAGUGACGGUACCUGGAGAAGAAGCACCGGCCAACUACGUG
This 466-nucleotide ribosomal RNA is filed under the name uncultured bacterium. RNAcentral describes it as "partial 16S ribosomal RNA". It matches the Rfam family "Bacterial small subunit ribosomal RNA", at positions 28 to 507 of the family's 1533-position model. The record is from RNAcentral.